CCUGGCGGCCAUAGAGAGGGGGUCACACCCGAUCCCAUUCCGAACUCGGCAGUUAAGCCCCUCUUCGCCGAUGAUACUGCAAGUUCACUUGUGGGAAAGUAGGUCGCUGCCAGGG
This 115-nucleotide ribosomal RNA is filed under the name Alkalidesulfovibrio alkalitolerans DSM 16529. The record is from RNAcentral. Lineage: Bacteria; Pseudomonadati; Thermodesulfobacteriota; Desulfovibrionia; Desulfovibrionales; Desulfovibrionaceae.